AAAUUUUUAGCCCUCUAUGUUUUCUGUACAGACCAUUUGGAGCAACUACUCCUGGACUAAAAAAUGAAAGCAUCUAUCACUGAUGAAAAGGUGGUUUACAUCUGUGACUGCAUAAACACAGAGGCAGGUAGACACGGAUUCCCUGGAAGUACCUCCUCAAGGUCAGUGCAGGGCUCCUAAUUGCCCCAGCAGAUUCCCCUUCUCGCAUUAUCUGCACCAAGCAGGUCUCCAGGUGUUCUAGUUGCCGAUGAAGUCCAGUGUGGAGAUGGUCUAGGAGGGUCGUGUUCCAGGCAGCAGAGGAGCGCUCUGUGUGGAAGAGGUUGAAGAUCUGCUGUAGCAUCUCAUGGAGGACAGACAUGACCUGGGCCUUCUGCAACUGGCUCCCUUCUACCAUCUCCUGGGGGAACCUGAAGUCUCUUCUGUCCUUGAGACACAA
This 436-nucleotide long non-coding RNA is filed under the name Rhinopithecus bieti (black snub-nosed monkey). RNAcentral's name for it is "lncRNA (ENSRBIG00000046394.1)". The record is from RNAcentral. Lineage: Eukaryota; Metazoa; Chordata; Mammalia; Primates; Cercopithecidae.